Pelobates cultripes (western spadefoot toad) is the source of this 311-nucleotide non-coding RNA. NCBI's taxonomy places the organism in Eukaryota, Metazoa, Chordata, Amphibia, Anura, Pelobatidae. The record is from the annotation of a GenBank genome assembly.
AUUUAGCAGAGAGUAUUGCCGGUAGUCUUAAUGUUACCAACUGCUAUGUGUGUGGAGGUACUAACAUGGGAGACCAAUGGCCUUGGGAAGCAAAGGAGGUAAUGUCCGGUUCUGAGGCAGUUGACCAAUUAAUAUCUACACAAGCCGACUAUCGUAUGAGUGUUAGAGGUAAAUCUGAGUGGAGAUUGAAGACCUCCAUCAUAGGUUAUGUUUGUAUAGCGAGGAAAGGAAUGAUGUAUAAUACUUCUGUAGGAGAAUUAACUUGUCUAGGGCAAAAAGCUUAUGAUGAUGAUACAAAGAAUACAACUUGG